Molecule: ribosomal RNA, 492 nt
Filed under: uncultured bacterium
Lineage: Bacteria
Description: bacterial SSU rRNA
Rfam family: Bacterial small subunit ribosomal RNA
Source: RNAcentral
UGGGGAAUCUUGCACAAUGGGGGAAACCCUGAUGCAGCGACGCCGCGUGAGCGAUGAAGCCCUUCGGGGUGUAAAGCUCUUUCGGCAGGGAAGAUUAUGACGGUACCUGCAGAAGCAGCUGCGGCUAACUACGCGCCAGCAGCCGCGGUAAUACGUAGGCAGCAAGCGUUGUUCGGAGUUACUGGGCGUAAAGGGUGCGUAGGCGGCUCGAUAAGUAUGGUGUGAAAUCUCCCGGCUUAACUGGGAGGGUGCGCUAUAGACUGCCGGGCUGGAGUGUGGGAGAGGAAAGUGGAAUUCCUGGUGUAGCGGUGAAAUGCGUAGAUAUCAGGAGGAACACCGGUGGUGUAAACGACUUUCUGGACCAUAACUGACGCUGAGGCACGAAAGCGUGGGUAGCAAACAGGAUUAGAUACCCUGGUAGUCCACGCCCUAAACGAUGCAUAUUUGGUGUGGGUCAUUCAGUUGAUCCGUGCCGGAGCUAACGCGUUAAAU